ACCAGGCUCCUGUAUCACUCUAGGGAAUCUGGACAUCAUCCUGCAGUGCCGAGUGGGUUAAUACAGCCGGCCUGGGUUAUCAGCUCACAUGAAAAGGAUGCAGGAGUCAUAUGUUGUUCUACAAUAAGAAAAAAAAUAUCUAUCAACCUAGCUUGGAAGUUAUGGGUAUUAGCUUCAUCAGACACAUGCGGUUUCUUCUUCCUCGCUACAAGAACAGGAGCAAGCUAUUUAACCUCACUGUGCCUCAGUUUUCGCAUCAGUAAAAUGGGGGUUAUGGUAUCUGCUAUGAGAAUGAAAUGAAAUUAGGUAGGUAAAACUCUUCGCUCUUCUUCUGAGACACAGUAGCACUCAAUAAAGGUAACUCUUGUUCUAUUUCAUAGUACCUGGAUGUACGCAGUGCCUACCACGGAGAAACAAGGAGGAAACAAGGAGAAAACAAGGAGCUCCGUCCCUUCCAGUUCUCUCAUUUCCUUCUCUCCACCACACUUUUGGCCUUUGACUCAUGAUGCUCCAUUAUACAGCCUACUGGUUUCCAAUGCUGACUGCCAAUAGAACUCCCUGAGCAGCUUUGAAAAAUUCUGAUGCCCAAAGCACCCUAAGACUAGUUACUCCUAGGUUCUUACAUACGGACCUGCCUGUGGCAUCCUCUGCUAAGCCCUCCUGGGGUGUCUCUUCAGUACAUCUCAAAUCAGCACUUGGUGGCUGACCCUUGGUGGCCAAUCUCGUGACCAGACACAAUCGUUGGUAGCAGGUAGCUACAGGCUGUACCGAAUUUACUACCAGCUGGUCAGACACUUAUGCUUCCAGCUCCAAGGGUAGCUGUCCUUUCAUGGAAGCUCAAGGGUUUGGGGAGACCCUCGUCUGAUUACACUGCUUUGAAUGGUCCUUCCUGCACAUCUGGCCAGCCUCUGUUCGGAUUCUGCUCAGCUGUCUCUCUUUCUUGCCUUCCUCCCCUCCGCGAUCUCACAGUCCCCUGUACAUACCUGUGGGGUAGCUCUCCAGCUCCAGUUAUCGCCUGGGUAGAUGACUGUGAACAACUAAAACACAAGGACAUUUUUCAUUUAUCUUUGUGUGCCCCAUGAAUAGCCCUGGGCCAAGCACACAACGGACAUUCCUCUCAUUUUAAAGAUACCAUAUUGAGAUCCUACUGGGUGCUGAUACUUCAAAAUGCCAACAUUCAUAGAAGCAUGGGAUUUUCACCCUGAAAGGAAUUUUGAGACAACGCAAUGAGGCCCGGGAAAGGUCGUGUCUUAUCAAGUGUCCCGGUGCCUGAGUAGGGAAAAUGUUGGCGAUAGAAUUCAACUCUCCUAAAGACAUGUAUCAUAUGACCUCACUGAUAUGAGGAAUUCUUAAUCUCAGGAAACAAA
This is a long non-coding RNA of Mirounga angustirostris (Northern elephant seal), 1367 nucleotides long. RefSeq lists it as uncharacterized. The record is from RefSeq and is a predicted model, not a curated record. Lineage: Eukaryota; Metazoa; Chordata; Mammalia; Carnivora; Phocidae. The transcript is spliced from 3 exons.